RNAcentral lists this ribosomal RNA (301 nucleotides) under uncultured bacterium. RNAcentral describes it as "partial 16S ribosomal RNA". It matches the Rfam family "Bacterial small subunit ribosomal RNA", at positions 509 to 807 of the family's 1533-position model. The record is from RNAcentral.
CAGUAGCCGCGGGAAAACGAAGGGGGCUAGCGUUGUUCGGAAUUACUGGGCGUAAAGCGCACGCAGGCGGCUCGAUAAAUUAGAAGUGAAAGCCCUGGGCUUAACCUGAGAAUUGCUUUUAAGACUGUCGAGCUAGAAUCCAGAAGAGGGUAGUGGAAUUCCGAGUGUAGAGGUGAAAUUCGUAGAUAUUCGGAAGAACACCAGUGGCGAAGGCGACUACCUGGUCUGGCAUUGACGCUCAUGUGCGAAAGCGUGGGGAGCAAACAGGAUUAGAUACCCGAGUAGUCCCUGUCUCUUAUAC